CAGCAGCCGCGGGAAUACGGAGGGAGCUAGCGUUGUUCGGAAUUACUGGGCGUAAAGCGCGCGUAGGCGGUUACUCAAGUCAGAGGUGUAAGCCCGGGGCUCAACCCCGGAACUGCCUUUGAAACUAGGUGACUAGAAUCUUGGAGAGGUCAGUGGAAUUCCGAGUGUAGAGGUGAAAUUCGUAGAUAUUCGGAAGAACACCAGUGGCGAAGGCGACUGACUGGACAAGUAUUGACGCUGAGGUGCGAAAGCGUGGGGAGCAAACAGGAUUAGAUACCCCAGUAGUCCCUGUCUCUUAUAC
RNAcentral lists this ribosomal RNA (301 nucleotides) under uncultured bacterium. Its description in RNAcentral is "partial 16S ribosomal RNA". It matches the Rfam family "Bacterial small subunit ribosomal RNA", at positions 509 to 807 of the family's 1533-position model. The record is from RNAcentral.